GACGAACGCUGGCGGCGUGCUUAACACAUGCAAGUCGAACGGAAAGGCCCUGCUUUUGUGGGGUGCUCGAGUGGCGAACGGGUGAGUAACACGUGAGUAACCUGCCUUUGACUUUGGGAUAACUUCAGGAAACUGGGGCUAAUACCGGCUAGGUGCUCCUGCUGCAUGGUGGGGGUUGGAAAGUUUCGGCGGUUGGGGAUGGUCUCGCGGCUUAUCAGCUUGUUGGUGGGGUAGUGGCUUACCAAGGCUGUGACGGGUAGCCGGCCUGAGAGGGUGACCGGGCACAUUGGGACUGAGAGACGGACCAGAGUCCUACGGGAGGCAGCAGUGGGGAAUAUUGCACAGUGGGAGGAAGCCUGAUGCGGCAACGCCGCGUGCGGGAUGACGGCCUUCGGGUAGUAAACCGCUUUCGCCUGUGACGAAGCGUGAGUGACGGUAAUGGAUAAAGAAGCACCGGCUAACUACGUG
This 468-nucleotide ribosomal RNA is filed under the name uncultured bacterium. RNAcentral describes it as "partial 16S ribosomal RNA". It matches the Rfam family "Bacterial small subunit ribosomal RNA", at positions 28 to 507 of the family's 1533-position model. The record is from RNAcentral.